This 468-nucleotide ribosomal RNA is filed under the name uncultured bacterium. Its description in RNAcentral is "partial 16S ribosomal RNA". It matches the Rfam family "Bacterial small subunit ribosomal RNA", at positions 28 to 507 of the family's 1533-position model. The record is from RNAcentral.
GACGAACGCUGGCGGCGUGCUUAACACAUGCAAGUCGAACGGAAAGGCCCUGCUUUUGUGGGGUGCUCGAGUGGCGAACGGGUGAGUAACACGUGAGUAACCUGCCCUUGACUUUGGGAUAACUUCAGGAAACUGGGGCUAAUACCGGAUAGGAGCUCCUGCUGCAUGGUGGGGGUUGGAAAGUUUCGGCGGUUGGGGAUGGACUCGCGGCUUAUCAGCUUGUUGGUGGGGUAGUGGCUUACCAAGGCUUUGACGGGUAGCCGGCAUGAGAGGGUGACCGGCCACAUUGGGACUGAGAUACGGACCAGACUCCUACGGGAGGCAGCAGUGGGGAAUAUUGCACAAUGGGCGGAAGCCUGAUGCAGCAACGCCGCGUGCGGGAUGACGGCCUUCGGGUUGUAAACCGCUUUCGCCUGUGACGAAGCGUGAGUGACGGUAAUGGGUAAAGAAGCACCGGCUAACUACGUG